CUACGCGGCUACGGUUUCGCCGAGAGAGCGGCUGUCCCCGGCUAGCAGCCCUCUGGUACGUGGCUGCGGCCCUCGGCGAAGCAGCGCAGACCCAGUCCCUGCAAGCUAACGUUCUCACCGCGGAGCUGGGGUGGCGCGGCGCGUCUGGUGUGGGGUCCUGGACGUGGGCAUCGUUCAGAGCGUGCCCUUCGGUAAGGCGGAGUCAAUACUGCCGCACUCGGGCACAGCCCCCUCCCGUUUCUCGUUUUGGGCUCGCCAGCCGGCCAGCGCAGCUUUCCCCAGCACGCCAGCCCCUGCUCUCGGAGAGGAGCAGAACCCUGGCCCUGCGAGUUCAAGGCCAGGAAGGUAUGAGGCAGACCCUGCUAUAUGCGGCUCUAUUGACUCCUUUGGUCGCUGUGACCUCAGCAAUGACAGAAGGAAAAGUGGAGUUAUUUUCAGAACCAAAUCCUUGCGAACGCUCAAAUUCCAAAGGAACAAAAACAAAAGCCUCGCCGGCAUUUACCAGGCAAACCCCAGUGAGAUAUCCUUCAAGGCUUGCCCAAAAUGCCUUUUUCCAGUGAAUCUUCUGGCCCUCCAUCUGUCCCUAAAGCAGAGCGAAGCAAGCGUCCUAGCCUAAGUGCCUCUCACCACCCUGUGAGUGCGCUCAGCGACAGAGUAACUCAAAAAAUGUUCACUGGGAUUUAUAAUCAAUGAAGUCCAUCGUAUGACAGAUGGAGAAACAGAGGAACAGACGAAGAGACAACUUGUCGAAGAUUACUCAGUGUUGAGUAGUGUUGAGACUGUAAUAGAACCCGAGGAAAAGAAAGAUCAAGGUGCUGCCCAUGCUGGGGAGCUGAAUGAAGUAGAGACGGAGCCACCAGUGGAGGCAGUACCUGGGGCAGAAACCGAAGCCAGGGCCAGAGACUGAGACAGGCAGAUAAGAGUCUACUGCCCUGAAAAGUUUGGCCCUGGGAUAGAUGCAUAGAAGAUUAGACACCUGUUGCUGCUCUUGAGAAGUGCAUUCUACUAGAAGAGACACAUACCUGCAGAAGUAUCUUCAACUCCAGAGGGAGCUGGCUCCAGCCGACUCAUUUGCAUAUGGUACCCUGGGUGUUCUGAACACCUAGUUGCAGACUCAACCAGAAGAGGUGGACAUUGCAAGACCAUAAUACUUUGGCCACUACUUUACUACUCCAGCAGGAGAAUGGAAGAUUUCCUCCUCCCCCAGGAACAGCCCAACCAAUUGGAGACUAUCAAAAAUCAGCCAAUGAGAAGUCACUACUGUUCAACUCUCAGUUUAUUCCAGUGGACUUUUUGUUUGUAACAGUGCUUCCAUCUCAGCCCUUUCCUCCAUAAAAGAGCUGUUUUUCUCCUUUGUUCUCUGGAACUUGACUGUUUUUGCAGUAGCUUGCUUGUCCCA
Non-coding RNA from Manis javanica (Malayan pangolin), 1399 nucleotides. The record is from RefSeq and is a predicted model, not a curated record. Lineage: Eukaryota; Metazoa; Chordata; Mammalia; Pholidota; Manidae.